GGGAGGGAUUUAGACACAGUCAGGCUGCUCUGUGCAAAUAGCCCCCCUGCCCGGCAGCUGUCAGAGGAGGCCUCCGCAGAGGAGGAUGGCUGGGGGCGGGGGGAGUGGUCUCUGGCCCAAUCCUGGCCCCACACAGCCUCAUUUCCCUGCUUCCAGAAGGCACCCCGAGGUCAGGAGGUCAGGUGGGGCUUUCCCCUGCCUGCAGAGGAGAAGCUGCCGCACUCAGGGGCAGCGACCUGCGCCCAUCACACAGCUGCCCGGGCUGAGCCAGACGGGAACCCAGGCGCCAUGGCUUCCAGGCCCCGUUCUCGGCUGAAGGGAUGCCCGGCUGACAGUGGGUCUCACGCAUAGUAGGUGCUCAACAAAAACCAACUGUGUGCAGAUUGCACUGAGGGGCAGCAGGCACAUGAAGGCAGAACAAAGGCAAUCCCAGGAGUAAGAAGGAAUACGUUUAACAAACAAAACCCCCAACGGUCACCCAGUGGAGAAAUUUCCAGAACAUUCUUUCCUGUGGCGUUUGGGAGCUUUUGUUCGCUGUGUCACGUGAGCACAGGCUCGCCCUUGUCCUCGUUCGUUUCCGGGGACCUGGGAUGACCACCGCGUCCUGCGGGUGGGGACAGUGGCUGGAGCUGGAGCUGAGUGUAGGUCUUGAGGAGCACUGGGCCCCCACCAGGCCCUGUCCACUCUUUCCCUGAGGUUAGGGCUGUGGUACAGAGACCACCGGUUCUGGGCCGGGUCGCAAAAAGAACUUGGCCUUGUUCCCCAAGCCUGGCCCUGGUGCUGGGCUCCUGGACCUGGGGGCGUGGUGUGCUCCUCGAUCUUAUAACACGGCCGGACCCCAUGUUGCUAGCAGACACACGGAUGCACCAAACGGAAAGGACCCCAAAUCCCGGGGCGUGUUCUUGGCCUCCCUGCCCCCCAACUGAUUCAAUAGGAAGACUCGCCUUGUCAGGGCCUGAGCCAGAGCUCGCAGUGGAGGCAGGCUGGCCUCGCCUCGGGGCUGGACAGAGCCAGGCCUUCAUCUGUGACUCAGGGGCCUCAUCUCUAAAGUGGGCAGUAAAGGCUAGAAACACCGACUCGGAGCACCUGGGAGACGUCGGUAAAUCGCAGCUGCUCUCGGAGGCGUUUAGGGAGGCAUCCGUCCUAUCCCCGGAGAAAGUGAAGAAACUCCCUCUGAUCUCAGCUGCCCUCUCUCCCCGGGAGCACGAUUUCAAAGGAUUUCUCCACGGAGAGAAAGCAAACCUCAAUCAUCUUUGUGCACAAAACACCCACCCAGGCUAUUUGUCUCCGUCCUGAGCGCCUGGCACGGGGCCCGAGAGGAGCGCUGGGAAGCGGUGCUUAGCGAAGAAUGCUGUCAUCCGCGGGGCUCACUGUCCGCCGCCCCGCAGCCCCGCCCCUGUACUCUGCCCCGGGUUCUUGGCAGCCCCAGGUAACCGCAAGACAAGUUUUAUCAUCUGUUAAACCUGUCGUUUGGGGGAAAAAAAUGACUUCAAUAAAAUAUUUCAACAAUUAUA
Molecule: long non-coding RNA, 1514 nt
Organism: Myotis myotis
Lineage: Eukaryota; Metazoa; Chordata; Mammalia; Chiroptera; Vespertilionidae
Exons: 2
Source: RefSeq, a predicted model, not a curated record